Molecule: ribosomal RNA, 508 nt
Filed under: Glomus sp. Glo23
Lineage: Eukaryota; Fungi; Glomeromycota; Glomeromycetes; Glomerales; Glomeraceae
Description: SSU rRNA
Rfam family: Eukaryotic small subunit ribosomal RNA
Source: RNAcentral
AGCAGCCGCGGUAAUUCCAGCUCCAAUAGCGUAUAUUAAAGUUGUUGCAGUUAAAAAGCUCGUAGUUGAAUUUCGGGGUUAGUAGGUUGGUCAUGCCUCUGGUAUGUACUGGUCUCACUGAUUCCUCCUUCCUGAUGAACCUUAAUGCCAUUAAUUUGGUGUUUUGGGGAAUUUGGACUGUUACUUUGAAAAAAUUAGAGUGUUUAAAGCAAGCUAACGCUUGAAUACAUUAGCAUGGAAUAAUGAAAUAGGACGUUCGAUCCUAUUUUGUUGGUUUCUAGGAUUGACGUAAUGAUUAAUAGGGAUAGUUGGGGGCAUUAGUAUUCAAUUGUCAGAGGUGAAAUUCUUGGAUUUAUUGAAGACUAACUACUGCGAAAGCAUUUGCCAAGGAUGUUUUCAUUAAUCAAGAACGAAAGUUAGGGGAUCGAAGACGAUCAGAUCCCGUCGUAGUCUUAACCAUAAACUAUGCCGACUAGGGAUCGGAUGAUGUUAAUUUUUUAAUGACUCA